CUCAAUUUUCUUCCCCUUCUCUCUCUCUCUCUUUUUGUCUCUCUCAUCUUGCUUGAUUAACCCUCUCUCCCUUUCCCUCCUUCUCGCCGUUCCAUUCUCCCUCUUCUAUUUUCAAUUCAUCAUAUGUAAGUUUAUUUAUAAUUUAGUGGGAUAGUUUUGGAUUUAGGGAUUAAUUUCUUGAUUUGAAAUUUUCUUUCAUUUAAGUCCCUAGGCCCUUUUAAAUUUGCAGCAGCCCCCUAAAUUAUCUAAAAACUCUUAUAAAACACCCAAAAAUUUAAAUGUUAAAUUUACAGGAUGUUACAAUCUUCUUCCCUUUAAAAAUUUGGUCCUCUAAAUUUGAACCCAUCAAGUAAUUAUAGAAAAUGAAGAUAUUUGUUCCCCAUUUUCUCUUCCGAUUCCCACAUGAUUUCUUUUAUGAAGUAGUGUUGUCAUGGCACUUUUUCUAGUGAAAUCACUUUAGAUUGUGAUAUCUCUUUCCUACCUCCCAAAAGUAAAGGUACAUUUAUCUAGAAUUAACUUCCGAUCUUAGUGAUUUUAAGACCUAAGGGGAUUUGAUGGUACUUCACUAUUUCUCUCCUAAUAAUACUUCAUCUUCACAUAGGACUAUUAUUUUGGAUUAUAUUGAUCCUCAAAACUCAUUAGAGCCUAUUAUCUCCCAACAAUAAUCUAUGCCAUUAUCAUCACUAUCAAACACUGUCUGCGAGCAUCAUAUCUUUGUUUGAUUCUCAUCAUGACAAGUCUCUUAGUAAUAGCUUCUCACCACAAGAUUAAGUUCUUAGUUACAUAAGUGACCUCAAUGCUAUGUUAUGUUAAUGUCUUUUCCAACGUGCAUAUGCCCCAUAAAAAUUGCCUAUAUUCUGACUUUCAAAAAUUAAUAUGUGAAUAUCUUAGAAAUUAUUUUCCACGAUCUCUAGUCCAUAUAAUCUUGAAUUAUUACCAAAACAUACAGUUAUUUUUCAUGAUCUCUAAAUAGCCAUAUAUGUUUCAUUCUCAUAUAUAACAAUCCACUAAUAGUAAGGUUUUCUGAAUCCUGGAUAUCACUUUGGAAAUUUGAAAGUAUUGUUUUGGUAGCCAAACUUCUUUUCACUUACCCAAGGGACUUGAUGUCUAAGCAAUCUACUUUUGGUUGAGUCAUAAUGUUCUUCUAAAUUCCAUCAAGUUUGCAGGGUUUUCCAAAAU
Molecule: long non-coding RNA, 1179 nt
Filed under: Carica papaya (papaya)
Lineage: Eukaryota; Viridiplantae; Streptophyta; Magnoliopsida; Brassicales; Caricaceae
Description: long non-coding RNA (CPAP_LNC013500)
Source: RNAcentral